GUGCUUGCUUCAGCAGCACAUAUACUAAAACUGGAGCGAUACAGAGAAGAUCAGUAUGGCCCCUGCACAAGAAUGACAUGCAAAUUCGUGAAGCAUUCUAUAUUUUU
Phacochoerus africanus (Common warthog) is the source of this 107-nucleotide small nuclear RNA. The record is from RefSeq and is a predicted model, not a curated record. NCBI's taxonomy places the organism in Eukaryota, Metazoa, Chordata, Mammalia, Artiodactyla, Suidae.